CGCGAUCACUCCUACGGGGAGGCAGCAGUAGGGAAUCUUCCACAAUGGGCGCAAGCCUGAUGGAGCAACACCGCGUGAGUGAAGAAGGGUUUCGGCUCGUAAAGCUCCGUUGUUAAAGAAGAACACGUAUGAGAGUAACUGUUCAUACGUUGACGGUAUUUAACCAGAAAGUCACGGCUAACUACGUGCCAGCAGCCGCGGUAAUACGUAGGUGGCAAGCGUUAUCCGGAUUUAUUGGGCGUAAAGAGAGUGCAGGCGGUUUUCUAAGUCUGAUGUGAAAGCCUUCGGCUUAACCGGAGAAGUGCAUCGGAAACUGGAUAACUUGAGUGCAGAAGAGGGUAGUGGAACUCCAUGUGUAGCGGUGGAAUGCGUAGAUAUAUGGAAGAACACCAGUGGCGAAGGCGGCUACCUGGUCUGCAACUGACGCUGAGACUCGAAAGCAUGGGUAGCGAACAGGAUUAGAUACCCUGGUAG
This 474-nucleotide ribosomal RNA is filed under the name uncultured bacterium. RNAcentral's name for it is "bacterial SSU rRNA". It matches the Rfam family "Bacterial small subunit ribosomal RNA", at positions 328 to 793 of the family's 1533-position model. The record is from RNAcentral.